GGAGGAAGUAGACGAAGGACGCAGGAGUGUGGGAGAGGAGGAGGAGAAACAGCAGACCACACCCACAGGAGGAGGAGAGAAGAUGAGGAUACGUCUACGCAGCAGGGCCAGUUUCCAAAGCACCAUGAUCUGCUCACCAAAGAAGCGAAUGAACUGGGACAUACAGCCAGCCGGGUGUGUGAUCUGGUCCACAGAUUGCGCCUUAUGUAAGACACAGAUCAUUGCUACUUAAGAAUCAGCAGAGCAGCAUGAGCUGAGAUGAGUAAGGUUGCUGCACUGGAGGCCAGAGAAUCAUGGGAAGCUGAGAGAACGGGAGAACUGUCCAAAAUGAGAUGGAACACUGGAGUACGCAGGCCAGGGUCAAAGACUUAUUCUUACAUGAAAUCGGUGGUGACUCGGUGGGAGCCGCUGGCAAUGGCUUUGAACUCCACUCCCUCCAGGUCCAUGUCUUUGGGCAGACACCACUCAAGCAUGUUUCCUGUCACACACACACACACACACAUGAAAACAUCAGUAAUAAAACACACAUACACACGCGACGUGAGGAGACAAUUCCACUAACACCGGAAGUGUGUUUGCAUCAUUUCAUGAAACUGCCCGCGCUGGGAGGCCAUUAUGUGUCAGUUGAGAGAGAGAGAGAGAGAGAGAGAGGCUAAAGUGGCAGCUGAGCAAAUAUGGUCUGAUGGGAGCAGAGAGUGUGACUCAGCCUGUGUGCUGUUCAAUCUUAUCACCAGCUACAAGUAUCAGAGCGUGGACUCACUGCAGAAAUGUAUCACGUUUUGGCUCCAGGUCUGUGCCUUCCACUGGCUCCAUCAGUCACCUGCAGAUUCUACAAACCCUAUUCUGGUGUCUGAUGACCCAAAAAACUGGACUUUGAGCAGCUUCGGAAAAUGAACUAAAGAGCGACGUUGACCGUGUGGCUUUUAUAACCAGAUAUUUACCGCCUCAGACUGUUUUCAUUGAUGAUAAUAACAAUUAGCAGAAACACAGACUGCACUGCACAGCUUUUGACCAGGCACUUAAAGAAACUCAUAAAUAUGACCAGAUCACGGCUCCGGCUUUUGUGUGUCAGACCUGCAGUCUGUAAAAUGAUGAAGAGCCCAGCUCCACCCUGCAGGAACCUCCCGUGUAAUCUAGGCAGCUUCUUGACUCCGUAUGUUUGGAGAAACACGAUUGGCUACAGUUUCACAGGGGGCUCAUCCAGUCUUUAAAAUGCCCCUCGUUAAAAAUUAAAGAGCUGCGCCGCAGAAACCAGCUGAUUGAGUCGCAUCCCUAACCUCGGCCUGACAUUUUUACACGCCAGCUCAUCUAGUGAUGCUACAGUGGAGGCAUGGCUUUUAAUCAUGACUGUAAACCUGUCUUCAACGGGGGGUUCAUGACCCUUAGGGGGGCCCUGCGUAUGUACUGCAAGGGCGUUGGAAAUGUUUUGGUUGAUUAAACGAUUAAAAAAACAUUUCUUUAAUAUUUUGCCAGUUAAAAUAUUAACAUUAAUGUACGACCAUGUGUUUGCAUAGCUUAGUAUGAAAUGUAAAAAAUCGGUCGCCCUAUUGAAUAUAAA
Long non-coding RNA from Cynoglossus semilaevis (tongue sole), 1558 nucleotides. RefSeq lists it as uncharacterized. The record is from RefSeq and is a predicted model, not a curated record. The transcript is spliced from 6 exons. NCBI's taxonomy places the organism in Eukaryota, Metazoa, Chordata, Actinopteri, Pleuronectiformes, Cynoglossidae.